UACGUAGGGUGCGAGCGUUAAUCGGAAUCACUGGGCGUAAAGCGCACGUAGGCGGAUUGUUAAGUCAGGGGUGAAAUCCUGGAGCUCAACUCCAGAACUGCCUUUGAUACUGGCGAUCUCGAGUCCGGGAGAGGUGAGUGGAACUGCGAGUGUAGAGGUGAAAUUCGUAGAUAUUCGCAAGAACACCAGUGGCGAAGGCGGCUCACUGGCCCGGUACUGACGCUGAGGUGCGAAAGCGUGGGGAGCAAACAGG
This 253-nucleotide ribosomal RNA is filed under the name uncultured bacterium. RNAcentral describes it as "partial 16S ribosomal RNA". It matches the Rfam family "Bacterial small subunit ribosomal RNA", at positions 524 to 776 of the family's 1533-position model. The record is from RNAcentral.